RNAcentral lists this ribosomal RNA (497 nucleotides) under uncultured bacterium. RNAcentral describes it as "partial 16S ribosomal RNA". It matches the Rfam family "Bacterial small subunit ribosomal RNA", at positions 28 to 507 of the family's 1533-position model. The record is from RNAcentral.
GAUGAACGCUGGCGGCGUGCCUAAUACAUGCAAGUCGAGCGGACGGACGAGACGAUUGCUUCUCUGAUGUUAGCGGAGGACGGGUGUGUAACGCGUGGAUACCCUACCUAUAAGACUGGGAUAACUUCGGGAAACCGGAGCUAAUACCGGAUGAUAUUUUGCACCGCAUGGUUCAAAAGUGAAAGACGGUCUUGCUGUCACUUAUAGAUGGAUCCGCGCUGCAUUAGCUAGUUGGUAAGGUCACGGCUUACCAAGGCAACGAUGCAUAGCCGACCUGAGAGGGUGAUCGGCCACACUAGAGCGGAGACGCGGUCCAGACGCCUACGGGAGGCAGCAGUAGGGAAUCGGCCGCAGUGGGCGAGAGCCUUACGGAGUAGCGGCGCGUGAGUUAUGGAGGUCUUCGGAUCGGAAUACUCUGUUUUGGGUUAAGAACAGAUUUGGAAGGAACUGAGCACAUCUUGACGGUACUGAGUCAGAAAGCCACGGCUAACUACGUG